Non-coding RNA from Acanthosepion pharaonis, 112 nucleotides. NCBI's taxonomy places the organism in Eukaryota, Metazoa, Mollusca, Cephalopoda, Sepiida, Sepiidae. The record is from the annotation of a GenBank genome assembly.
UUACGGCCAUAUCACAUUGGAACACGGGUUCCCGUACGAUCACCGAAGUUAAGCAACGUCGAGACUGGUCAGUAUCUAGAUGAGUUACCGUUUGGGAAUACCAAGUGUUAUA